Erinaceus europaeus (western European hedgehog) is the source of this 831-nucleotide long non-coding RNA. RefSeq lists it as uncharacterized. The transcript has 4 exons. The record is from RefSeq and is a predicted model, not a curated record. Lineage: Eukaryota; Metazoa; Chordata; Mammalia; Eulipotyphla; Erinaceidae.
AGAGGGACGGCUGGCUGCAGGGCAGGGACCGGACAGGAUGCCGGAGCAGCUGUCACCCAGCCCUCCAGGAAGCUGACGUCCCUCCCCAAGGGCUGAUUCAUGGGGCAGGAUGGGAGGGGCUGUUGACUGAAGGGACAGCCAGAGAUCAAGAGGGGGAGCAGUGAUGGAGAGACAGAGAGAUACCUGCAGCCCUGCUUGGCCACUCAUUUUAGACGGAAAAGCAAAGAGAAUCACCUGAAAACUCAACUAAUUAUGCCCAGGAUCUUUUCAGAAACUCACCAAGCCACAGGUGAGUGCAGACAGGUACUGCCACGACGCCACCCUGACCUCCCUGGGCAGACGCCCUCACCCAUGUGUCCUGGAGCCUCCCCUCCCCAGAGCCCUGCCCCAAUAGGGACAGACAGACACAGGCUGGGGGUGUGGAUCCACCUGCCAACACCCAUGUCCAGCGGAGAAGCAAUGACAGAAGCCAGACCUCCCACCUUCUGCUCCCCAUAAAGAAUUUGGGCCCAUGCUCCCAGAGGGAUGAAGAACAGGGAAGCUUCCAGUGGAGGAGACGGGAUGAUGGGAACUGUGUGGAAUUAUACCCGUCUUAUCCCACUAUCUUGUCAAUUGUCAUUAAGUCACUAGUAAAACAAAAUAAAAUAAAAUAAAAAGACUUGGCCUGUGACCUCUCACUCUGCCUGUGCCGAGACCAGACAGGCCUGCCCCCAGCCCCCACCACAGGGUCACCCCCAGCCUCUGCCUCACAGAGCACCGGGAGCAAACUCCUGGGACGUGUUGGGGAUGCACAUGUCACACACCAUCAGCUGCUCCAACAAACACCGUCAU